Molecule: ribosomal RNA, 460 nt
Filed under: uncultured bacterium
Lineage: Bacteria
Description: partial 16S ribosomal RNA
Rfam family: Bacterial small subunit ribosomal RNA
Source: RNAcentral
CCUACGGGAGGCUGCAGUGAGGAAUAUUGGUCAAUGGGCGAGAGCCUGAACCAGCCAAGUCGCGUGAGGGAAGACGGUCCUAUGGAUUGUAAACCUCUUUUGCCGGGGAGCAAAAAGCGGUACGUGUACCGCAUCGAGAGUACCCGGAGAAAAAGCAUCGGCUAACUCCGUGCCAGCAGCCGCGGUAAUACGGAGGGGGCGAGCGUUGUUCGGAGUGACUGGGCGUAAAGAGCACGUAGGCGGUGUUGUAAGUCAUUAGUCAAAGACUAGAGCUCAACUUUAGUAAGGCUAGUGAUACUAUAAUACUAGAGUAUCAGAGAGGAUUGCAGAAUUCCUGGUGUAGCGGUGAAAUGCUUAGAGAUCAUACAGAACACCGAUUGCGAAGGCAGCUUACCAAGCUACUUCUGACGUUGAGGCACGAAAGCGUGGGGAGCAAACAGGAUUAGAUACCCGAGUAGUC